Long non-coding RNA from Glycine soja, 137 nucleotides. RefSeq lists it as uncharacterized. Lineage: Eukaryota; Viridiplantae; Streptophyta; Magnoliopsida; Fabales; Fabaceae. The transcript has 3 exons. The record is from RefSeq and is a predicted model, not a curated record.
CUGUUUAUGUUCUUACAAGAUUGGUUCUCAACGUUUCACAGGCAUACCUUGCUUUCUUUGUCAUCAAUGACCUACAAAUGGCCCAAUCAGCCAAAGCUUUGGUUCCUGCUCUCAUACAUCUGCAGCUUCGUUGUGUC